UCUUUUCCUUGCAAACAAUCAAUACGAACUAACAAAUCUAAAAUGAACGACAACAAAGGGAAACAGAUUGAUACCAACGAGAACGGAUUGAACCCUAAGGAUUGAACCCGCUCUAAUACCAAGUUGAAUAUCAGAGUGUGCAUACCACAAUGAACAAACAAACGGAUUACAAAACUAGAAAUAUCCUACGUCAACAUGGUGUAAAGAGAACCCACUUCAACCCCCUUCAAACUUACUAUGUCAACAUGGUGUAAAGAGAACACACUUCUGUUUCGAUUGGACUUUGGAUGGUCUAUUAGCAUUUUACAUGGGCUGAAAACAUUGGUCUACAUACGUAUUGGGUUGGACUAAUAUUACAAAUAAUUGGGUGCAGGCAACCAGUAAAUUCUAGAAGUGGGACUAGCAUAGCUAAACGUCAAUGUAAAAAAUUAUAUAUAUAUAUACUAAAAGAGAAAAUGAACUGAAACAUUGUUCAUAAGCACAUUGUUCUUCCAUUUUUGCCCUCCCAUGUUUACUUUAAUCUCAAUUUUGCCUUUCUGUACACGUAUUGGCGGUGGAUGUCUCUCGAACUCUCUGAGCAUAGGAGCUCAAGCUCCUCCUCACCAACCCUCCACCUCUUCCUUCAUGCACCACUUCGAAUCGAAUCACUCGCUUUCUCUCUCCAACUCAUCCCAUUCCGAU
This 681-nucleotide long non-coding RNA is filed under the name Malus domestica (apple). RNAcentral describes it as "long non-coding RNA (MDOM_LNC012182)". The record is from RNAcentral. Lineage: Eukaryota; Viridiplantae; Streptophyta; Magnoliopsida; Rosales; Rosaceae.